AGUGAACGCUGGCGGUAGGCCUAACACAUGCAAGUCGAACGGCAGCACAGUAAGAGCUUGCUCUUACGGGUGGCGAGUGGCGGACGGGUGAGGAAUACAUCGGAAUCUACUUUUUCGUGGGGGAUAUCGUAGGGAAACUUACGCUAAUACCGCAUACGACCUACGGGUGAAAGCAGGGGAUCUUCGGACCUUGCGCGAUUGAAUGAGCCGAUGUCGGAUUAGCUAGUUGGCGGGGUAAAGGCCCACCAAGGCGACGAUCCGUAGCUGGCCUGAGAGGAUGAUCAGCCACACUGGAACUGAGACACGGUCCAGACUCCUACGGGAGGCAGCAGUGGGGAAUAUUGGACAAUGGGCGCAAGCCUGAUCCAGCCAUACCGCGUGGGUGAAGAAGGCCUUCGGGCUGUAAAGCCCUUUUGUUGGGGAAGAAAAGCAGCAGGUUAAUACCCCGCUGUUCUGACGGUACCCAAAGAAUAAGCACCGGCUAACUUCGUG
RNAcentral lists this ribosomal RNA (492 nucleotides) under uncultured bacterium. RNAcentral describes it as "partial 16S ribosomal RNA". It matches the Rfam family "Bacterial small subunit ribosomal RNA", at positions 29 to 507 of the family's 1533-position model. The record is from RNAcentral.